GGUGGGGGUAUCAGUGUGCAAUACCGCUACGCUAUUUUGGAGGACAUACGUGUUCAGUGUUGUUCCGUUGGUGUUGCAGUUGCGACAUUCUAAUUUAUGUGCUUGGCAUUUAGAAGUACCUUGCCCGAGAUUUGUAGAAAUGUGUCCAGAUAGUUCGCUGUAAAUAAGUUAGUUGGUGCGUUAUAGGCCGCUAUUAUGUGUAUGGUUACUGUGUGCCUGACGUAUCGCUUCUCAUAUGAGUGCUGAGGAAAUGAAGAAAGCAAUACGGACUACUUUUCUGCACAAGAUUUUCACGGGUAAAAAUCCCCAGCAUCGAAAUUGUCCUUCUAGAGCAGAUUCGUGGUAUUUGUGACAGCAAGUAAAAAGCGAUUCGUCCUGUUUAGAAAGACCUCAGUUCGGAUGAUCCUUUGAAACGACGUGAAAGAGACUUUACACAAAACAAUAAUGAAAGUGUGAAUUUACUGAUAUGGACAAUUGCCCCGGAGACAAGAUUCUGUGAAAAUAGAGGAGCGACGGCUGAGACACGCG
Long non-coding RNA from Habropoda laboriosa, 528 nucleotides. RefSeq lists it as uncharacterized. The record is from RefSeq and is a predicted model, not a curated record. The transcript has 3 exons. Lineage: Eukaryota; Metazoa; Arthropoda; Insecta; Hymenoptera; Apidae.